UUUCAUGUCUAUCAUGAAUAAUCGAGUAGCAACCCUACCUCAUCCUUUUAGUUCCAUUCAACCAAAAAACAUGUGUUUGUAGUAAAGUUUUGCUUUGCUUAUAGUUCCAUUUGCUUUGCUUCUAUUCCAAAUGUCUCAUCUCUCAUUCUCCUUCACUCAUAUUUUAAUGUAUAGUAAUCUUUAUAUCACCCAAUUCCCCCUCUAGACUUCUGAUUUUUCAUUCACUCACUUUUUUUGUACUAAUUUCUAUGAUUGCAUGUCUUAAAAAAAUUCUUACAGUUUUAUAGGAUGGGAUUAAUUUGGUUAUUUUUCAGGUUCAGGAGACAUAUUUGUAACCUUUAAUUUCGGUGGAUGUUGGUUAUGUGUAAUAUUUUGUUUCAAUAGCUCAAGUUUAAUGACAAUCUCACUUUCGCCAUAAUAUUCUAACAUAUUUGGUUAUUUUUGGUUCAAGAAACAUAUUUACAGCCUGAAACCUUGGCGGAUUGUGCAUGUGUAUUUAUAUCGAGUAGUGUAGUAUACAUAGUUAUUCAGAUGUUUAUUACAAAGGCAAAUUAGGAGAACAAAAAAGAAAUUUAUUUUAGUGAGGAAGGAAAACAU
This 597-nucleotide long non-coding RNA is filed under the name Nicotiana benthamiana. RNAcentral's name for it is "long non-coding RNA (NBEN_LNC010130)". Lineage: Eukaryota; Viridiplantae; Streptophyta; Magnoliopsida; Solanales; Solanaceae. The record is from RNAcentral.